UAGGAUUCCCAUAGUAGCUGCGAGCGAACAGGGAAAAGCCCAUCACCGAAUCCCGCGUUCGGAAACGAUCGCUGGGAAAUGUGGUGUUAGGGAGGGUCCGUUAUCCCGUGAAUGUGCGAUACGUUUAAGUCCUUCUUGAACGGGGUCACAGCCCAUAGAGGGUGCCAGUCCCGUAAUUUUCGCCGUCGCCAUUUGCGGGAGGACUUCUCCUCAGAGUCGGGUUGCUUGAGAGUGCAGCCCUAAGUGGGUGGUAAACUCCAUCUAAGGCUAAAUAUAACCACGAGACCGAUAGCGAACAAGUACCGUGAGGGAAAGUUGAAAAGAACUUUGCAGAGAGAGUUCAAUAGUACGUGAAACCGUUCAGGGGUAAACCUGAGAAACCCGAAAGGUCGAAAGGGGAGAUUCAGCGCGUCUCAUGUCGUGGUAAUGAGUUUACGUGCGACAAACGAUGUUCGCAUCGUGAGCGCCGUAGAUUUAUUCAACUGCUUCUGAACGUGUGCACUUCUCCCCAAGUAGGACGUCGCGACCCGUUGGGCGUCGGUCUAAGGGCUGCGGUGGAGUCCGUUCGUAUAUGGUUUACGCCGUUACGUUCGAACCCGUAGUUUUACCCGGCCGACACGCUCGACGGUAUAUGAAAGGCGUCGGGCCGCCACUACAAUUGGCGUUCGAUCCUUGGCAAGCUCAUUUGUUUUUAAUGGUGACCGGACCUGGUGCCGGUCCUGUUGGCAAAUGGCUGUUCGCCAAGGUAUUCUCGAACAGACCCGAUAUAUGAGACGCCGUUCAGCGACGCUAUUGCUUUGGGUAAUUUCAGGACCCGUCUUGAAACACGGACCAAGGAGUCUAGCAUGUGCGCAAGUCAUUGGGUAGUUCUCAAAGACCUAAAGGCACAAUGAAAGUGAAAGUCAACCUUGUGUUGACCAAGGGAGGAUGGGUGACCAUUUAUGGUUGCCCCGCACUCCCGGGGCGUCUCGAUCUCAUUACGAGAUGAGGCGCACCAUAAGCGUACACGCUGGGACCCGAAAGAUGGUGAACUAUGCCUGGUCAGGACGAAGUCAGGGGAAACCCUGAUGGAGGUCCGUAGCGAUUCUGACGUGCAAAUCGAUCGUCUGAACUGGGUAUAGGGGCGAAAGACUAAUCGAACCAUCUAGUAGCUGGUUCCCUCCGAAGUUUCCCUCAGGAUAGCUGGCGCUCAUGCCUAAGAGUUUCAUCCGGUAAAGCGAAUGAUUAGAGGCAUUGGGGUCGAAACGACCUCAACCUAUUCUCAAACUUUAAAUGGGUGAGAUCUCCGGCUUGCUUAAAUGCAUGAAGCCGCGAGACUCGAAUCAGAG
Molecule: ribosomal RNA, 1328 nt
Filed under: Cis vitulus
Lineage: Eukaryota; Metazoa; Arthropoda; Insecta; Coleoptera; Ciidae
Description: eukaryotic LSU rRNA
Rfam family: Eukaryotic large subunit ribosomal RNA
Source: RNAcentral